UACAGAGGGGGCAAGCGUUAUUCGGAAUUAUUGGGCGUAAAGGGCGCGUAGGUGGCCUUGCAAGUGGCGGGUGAAAUCCCUCGGCUUAACCGAGGAACUGCCUGCCAGACUGCUUGGCUUGAGACCGGGAGAGGUGAGUGGAAUUCCCAGUGUAGCGGUGAAAUGCGUAGAUAUUGGGAGGAACACCAGUGGCGAAGGCGGCUCACUGGACCGGAACUGACGCUGAGGCGCGAAAGCGUGGGGAGCAAACAGG
Molecule: ribosomal RNA, 253 nt
Filed under: uncultured bacterium
Lineage: Bacteria
Description: partial 16S ribosomal RNA
Rfam family: Bacterial small subunit ribosomal RNA
Source: RNAcentral